UAGGGAAUCUUCCACAAUGGGCGAAAGCCUGAUGGAGCAACGCCGCGUGUGUGAUGAAGGCUUUCGGUCGUAAAGCACUGUUGUAUGGGAAGAACAGCUAGAAUAGGAAAUGAUUUUAGUUUGACGGUACCAUACCAGAAAGGGACGGCUAAAUACGUGCCA
Molecule: ribosomal RNA, 162 nt
Filed under: uncultured bacterium
Lineage: Bacteria
Description: partial 16S rRNA
Rfam family: Bacterial small subunit ribosomal RNA
Source: RNAcentral